Long non-coding RNA from Culex quinquefasciatus (southern house mosquito), 703 nucleotides. RefSeq lists it as uncharacterized. NCBI's taxonomy places the organism in Eukaryota, Metazoa, Arthropoda, Insecta, Diptera, Culicidae. The transcript has 3 exons. The record is from RefSeq and is a predicted model, not a curated record.
GGUUGACACUCGAUCAUUCUGGAAUAAUUCUGGGUUAAUUCUGGAAUGAACGGAAUGACGAUGAUGAUUCUAGCAAAAAUGAUCAAGUGCGGGUAAGAGUGUAACUGUCAUAAUAUUUAUCUUUCUAAACCAAAACAUGUUACGGUUCUCUGCAGCAUUGACCUGGUAGGACAACAGAACGGGCGGUUGUUCUGUACUGUUCCGGUGCCGUGCGACAUCCAGAGCAACGGACGGAUUGGCCUUCACUGGAAUUUGACCGAGCUGCUGUUGGCCACUAGACGAAUUUGACAGCAUCUAAGUGGACCAGCUACGUACCGGCGAGGCCAACGUGCUAGAUAUUCCGGUGGAGGUUGAUUCAGCGCAUCCAAGAGCAGGCUUGUGAGCGGCAGACGGAACUGAACCUGUUGGGAGACUUGAUUGGGCCGCAGACAGCAAGGGAAGGGACUGAGGUGGCGGAGAUUCUUUGGACGAGUCGGAUGAGGAGUUCGCGAGGAGGCUGAUGCCGACGGGCAGGACUCUUUUUUGAUUGAAGACUAACGAGGAGGAUGAGGGGAGAUUUUUUAAAACAAGAACGGCGUCAAAACGUGCUGCCGGCCGAGAUCGUCAUGGACAAAAUUACCAAGAAGCAAACGAAAAUUCAGAUGCAGUCACAGAAGAUUCCGACUAAAAGGUUCUAGAAAUAAAGCGCCAGAGACGUGCUGAA